UCUCCGUUGGUGAACCAGCGGAGGGAUCAUUACAGAGUUUUCACAACUCCCAACCCUUGCGAACCGUACCCAUUCUGUUCUCGUUGCUUCCGGCGGGCCCUACGAACCUUUAUAUCUCAACCACCAGAAACCGUCUGAGAAAACAAAUAAAAUAAUCAAAACUUUCAACAACGGAUCUCUUGGCUCUG
RNAcentral lists this unclassified non-coding RNA (188 nucleotides) under plant metagenome. RNAcentral's name for it is "partial contains small subunit ribosomal RNA, internal transcribed spacer 1, and 5.8S ribosomal RNA". The record is from RNAcentral.